RNAcentral lists this ribosomal RNA (690 nucleotides) under uncultured bacterium. RNAcentral describes it as "bacterial SSU rRNA". It matches the Rfam family "Bacterial small subunit ribosomal RNA", at positions 109 to 816 of the family's 1533-position model. The record is from RNAcentral.
AGUAACGCGUGAGCAAUCUACCUUAGUUACAGGGAUCCCCCGAGGAAACUCGGAUUAAUACCUGAUAUUCUUUACAUUUCGCAUGAAAUCAAAAGGAAAGGUCAGCCGAACUAAGAUGAGCCCGCGUUCUAUCAGCUAGUUGGUGAGGUAAAAGCUCACCAAGGCAACGACGGAUAGCUGGUCUGAGAGGACGAUCAGCCACACUGGGACUGAGACACGGCCCAGACUCCUACGGGAGGCUGCAGCAGGGAAUAUUGCGCAAUGAGCGAAAGCUUGACGCAGCGACACCGCGUGUGGGAUGACGGAUCUAGGUUUGUAAACCACUUUCAGGAGGGAAGAAAAUGACGGUACCUCCACAAGAAGCCCCGGCCAACUACGUGCCAGCAGCCGCGGUAAUACGUAGGGGGCGAGCGUUGUCCGGAUUUAUUGGGCGUAAAGAGCUCGUAGGCGGUUCAACAAGUCGUUCGUGAAAGUUCAGGGCUCAACCCUGAAAUGUCGAUCGAUACUGUUGUGACUAGGAUACGGUAGAGGUGAGUGGAAUUCCGAGUGUAGCGGUGAAAUGCGUAGAUAUUCGGAGGAACACCAAUUGCGAAGGCAGCUCACUGGGCCGCUAUCGACGCUGAGGAGCGAAAGCUAGGGGAGCAAACAGGAUUAGAUACCCUGGUAGUCCUAGCUGUAAACGAUGGAUAC